This is a long non-coding RNA of Xyrauchen texanus (razorback sucker), 721 nucleotides long. RefSeq lists it as uncharacterized. The transcript has 3 exons. The record is from RefSeq and is a predicted model, not a curated record. Lineage: Eukaryota; Metazoa; Chordata; Actinopteri; Cypriniformes; Catostomidae.
UUGGGAGUUUACAUCGUCUGAGGGUUCCGUUCUAUUGGAGUAUAUCAGGCUAACGUGGAGGUGAAUUUCCAUGAACAUCUGGACAGGUCGCGGGUAGUGCUGGGGCCUAUCCCAGCUGUCUCUGGCCGAAGGCAGGGAAACACGCUGGACAGGUGGCCAUCACAGGGCUACAUAAUUUGAGAUAAAAAGAUACCAUCGUGAAACCUCAAUUUAAGAAAACCCUAAAGGAGAACGUCCUGUCAUCAGUCCGUGAGUUGAAGCUCAAGCACAGCUGGAUUAUGCAGCAAGACAAUGAACCAAAGCAUAGGAGUAAGUCCACCUCUGAAUGACUCAAAUGAAACAACAUUAAAGUUUUGGAGGGGCCUAGUCAAAGCCCUGACUUGAACCCGACUGAGAUGCUGCCAGGACCUUAAAUGGGCAGUUCAUGCUCAAACUCUCCAAUGUGGCUGAACUAAAUCAGUUCUACAAAUAAGAGUGAGCCAAAACUCCCCCACAGUGUUGUGUAAGACUGAUCAUUUAUCGGAAGUGUUUGGUUGCUGUUGUUGCUGCUAAAGGUGGCACAAGCUAUUAUGUUUAAGGGGCAGUUCAUUUUUCACAUGGGUGAUAUAGGUGUUGGAUAACGUUUUUUGCUAAAAGGAUGGGGUCAAAUACUUUUUACAGCACUGUACAUAGAUAGAAAAUAAAUGUGAAAUAAAUAUAUACUUGAUAUUUUAGAUAAAAA